Molecule: ribosomal RNA, 253 nt
Filed under: uncultured bacterium
Lineage: Bacteria
Description: partial 16S ribosomal RNA
Rfam family: Bacterial small subunit ribosomal RNA
Source: RNAcentral
UACGGAGGGAGCUAGCGUUGUUCGGAAUUACUGGGCGUAAAGCGCACGUAGGCGGCUUUGUAAGUUAGAGGUGAAAGCCUGGAGCUCAACCUCAGAAUUGCCUUUAAGACUGCAUCGCUCGAAUCCGGGAGAGGUGAGUGGAAUUCCGGGUGUAGAGGUGAAAUUCGUAGAUAUCCGGAAGAACACCAGUGGCGAAGGCGGGUCACUGGACAGGUAUUGACGCUGAGGUGCGAAGGCGAGGGGAGCAAACAGG